UGCUACCAAGAAUCCUUUACCACAGCA
Molecule: non-coding RNA, 27 nt
Filed under: Rattus norvegicus (Norway rat)
Lineage: Eukaryota; Metazoa; Chordata; Mammalia; Rodentia; Muridae
Source: RNAcentral